This 290-nucleotide ribosomal RNA is filed under the name uncultured bacterium. RNAcentral's name for it is "partial 16S ribosomal RNA". It matches the Rfam family "Bacterial small subunit ribosomal RNA", at positions 773 to 1060 of the family's 1533-position model. The record is from RNAcentral.
GUGGAUUAGAUACCCGGGUAGUCCACGCCCUAAACGAUGAACACUAGGUGUAGGGGGCAAAGCCUUCUGUGCCGCAGCUAACGCAAUAAGUGUUCCACCUGGGGAGUACGGCCGCAAGGUUGAAACUCAAAGGAAUUGACGGGAGCCCGCACAAGCAGUGGAGUAUGUGGUUUAAUUCGACGCAACGCGAAAAACCUUACCAAGGAUUGACAUCCUAGGAACCCGGCGUAAUGGCUGGGGUGCCCCUUCGGGGGAAUCUAGAGACAGGUGGUGCACGGUCGUCGACAGCU